GUCUUUUUGAAUAUAAUUUAGAGUCUAAUCUGCCCACUGAUAAAAAUUAAAGGGCUGCAGUAUAAUGACUGUACAAAGGUAGCAUAAUCAGUAGUUUUUUAAUUGAAAACUUGUAUGAAAGAUUUGAUGAAAUAUAGACUGUCUCUAAUUUAUAGAUUGAAUUUUAUUUUUUAGUAAAAAAGCUAAAAUAAAUUUAAAAGACGAGAAGACCCUAUAGAGUUUUAUAUUUAAUUUUAUUUUAAAAUUAUAUAAAAAUUAAUAUUAAAAUAAAAUUAAAUAUUAUAUUGGGGUGAUAGAAAAAUUAAAUUAACUUUUUUUAAAAAUUAAACAUAAAUAAAUGAUUAUAUGAUCCAUAGAUAAUGAUUAUAAGAAAAAAUUACCUUAGG
Molecule: ribosomal RNA, 386 nt
Filed under: Melanargia galathea (marbled white)
Lineage: Eukaryota; Metazoa; Arthropoda; Insecta; Lepidoptera; Nymphalidae
Description: partial 16S ribosomal RNA
Source: RNAcentral